Molecule: ribosomal RNA, 464 nt
Filed under: Vreelandella stevensii
Lineage: Bacteria; Pseudomonadati; Pseudomonadota; Gammaproteobacteria; Oceanospirillales; Halomonadaceae
Description: partial 16S ribosomal RNA
Rfam family: Bacterial small subunit ribosomal RNA
Source: RNAcentral
CCUACGGGGGGCUGCAGUGGGGAAUAUUGGACAAUGGGCGAAAGCCUGAUCCAGCCAUGCCGCGUGUGUGAAGAAGGCCUUCGGGUUGUAAAGCACUUUCAGUGGGGAAGAAAGCCUUGGGGCUAAUACCCUCGAGGAAGGACUUCACCCACAGAAGAAGCACCGGCUAACUCCGUGCCAGCAGCCGCGGUAAUACGGAGGGUGCGAGCGUUAAUCGGAAUUACUGGGCGUAAAGCGCGCGUAGGCGGUCUGAUAAGCCGGUUGUGAAAGCCCCGGGCUCAACCUGGGAACGGCAUCCGGAACUGUCAGGCUAGAGUGCAGGAGAGGAAGGUAGAAUUCCCGGUGUAGCGGUGAAAUGCGUAGAGAUCGGGAGGAAUACCAGUGGCGAAGGCGGCCUUCUGGACUGACACUGACGCUGAGGUGCGAAAGCGUGGGUAGCAAACAGGAUUAGAUACCCGGUAGUC